This 589-nucleotide ribosomal RNA is filed under the name uncultured fungus. RNAcentral's name for it is "eukaryotic LSU rRNA". The stretch from base 211 to 364 matches the Rfam family "5.8S ribosomal RNA". Lineage: Eukaryota; Fungi. The record is from RNAcentral.
AGUCGUAACAAGGUCUCCGUAGGUGAACCUGCGGAGGGAUCAUUACACAAAUAUGAAGGCGGGCUGGAACCUCUCGGGGUUACAGCCUUGCUGAAUUAUUCACCCUUGUCUUUUGCGUACUUCUUGUUUCCUUGGUGGGUUCGCCCACCACUAGGACAAACAUAAACCUUUUGUAAUUGCAAUCAGCGUCAGUAACAAAUUAAUAAUUACAACUUUCAACAACGGAUCUCUUGGUUCUGGCAUCGAUGAAGAACGCAGCGAAAUGCGAUAAGUAGUGUGAAUUGCAGAAUUCAGUGAAUCAUCGAAUCUUUGAACGCACAUUGCGCCCUUUGGUAUUCCAAAGGGCAUGCCUGUUCGAGCGUCAUUUGUACCCUCAAGCUUUGCUUGGUGUUGGGCGUCUUGUCUCUAGCUUUGCUGGAGACUCGCCUUAAAGUAAUUGGCAGCCGGCCUACUGGUUUCGGAGCGCAGCACAAGUCGCACUCUCUAUCAGCAAAGGUCUAGCAUCCAUUAAGCCUUUUUUUUCAACUUUUGACCUCGGAUCAGGUAGGGAUACCCGCUGAACUUAAGCAUAUCAAUAAAGUAAAAGUCG